GUCACACCCGUUCCCAUACCGAACACGGAAGUUAAGCUCUCUAGCGCCGAUGGUAGUUGGGACCUUGUCCCUGUGAGAGUAGGACGUUGCCAGGC
This 95-nucleotide ribosomal RNA is filed under the name Bacillus anthracis (anthrax bacterium). Lineage: Bacteria; Bacillati; Bacillota; Bacilli; Caryophanales; Bacillaceae. The record is from RNAcentral. RNAcentral also lists the same sequence under 24 other names.